GCUGACGGAGCAACGCCGCGUGAGUGAUGAAGGUUUUCGGAUCGUAAAGCUCUGUUGUUAGGGAAGAACAAGUGCAAGAGUAACUGCUUGCACCUUGACGGUACCUAACCAGAAAGCCACGGCUAACUACGUGCCAGCAGCCGCGGUAAUACGUAGGUGGCAAGCGUUGUCCGGAAUUAUUGGGCGUAAAGGGCUCGCAGGCGGUUUCUUAAGUCUGAUGUGAAAGCCCCCGGCUCAACCGGGGAGGGUCAUUGGAAACUGGGAAACUUGAGUGCAGAAGAGGAGAGUGGAAUUCCACGUGUAGCGGUGAAAUGCGUAGAGAUGUGGAGGAACACCAGUGGCGAAGGCGACUCUCUGGUCUGUAACUGACGCUGAGGAGCGAAAGCGUGGGGAGCGAACAGGAUUAGAUACCCUGGUAGUCCACGCCGUAAACGAUGAGUGCUAAGUGUUAGGGGGUUUCCGCCCCUUAGUGCUGCAGCUAACGCAUUAUGCACUCCGCCUGGGGAGUACGGUCGCAAGACUGAAACUCAAAGGAAUUGACGGGGGCCCGCACAAGCGGUGGAGCAUGUGGUUUAAUUCGAAGCAACGCGAAGAACCUUA
Molecule: ribosomal RNA, 600 nt
Filed under: Bacillus sp. CJJK16
Lineage: Bacteria; Bacillati; Bacillota; Bacilli; Caryophanales; Bacillaceae
Description: bacterial SSU rRNA
Rfam family: Bacterial small subunit ribosomal RNA
Source: RNAcentral